UAGGGAAUAUUGCACAAUGGAGGAAACUCUGAUGCAGCAACGCCGCGUGAGUGAUGAAGGAUUUAGGUUUGUAAAGCUCUGUUGCAUGGGGAAAAGAUUGCGUAGCUAACAUCUGCGCAGUUUGAUGGUACCAUGUAAGAAAGGGACGGCUAACUUCGUGCCAGCAGCCGCGGUAAUACGAAGGUCCCUAGCGUUGUUCGGAAUCAUUGGGCGUAAAGCGUAUGUAGGUGGCUUUGAAAGUCGGGUGUGA
Molecule: ribosomal RNA, 250 nt
Filed under: uncultured bacterium
Lineage: Bacteria
Description: partial 16S ribosomal RNA
Rfam family: Bacterial small subunit ribosomal RNA
Source: RNAcentral